UAGGAUUUGGUGUAGUGUGGUAGCACGAAGAUUUUUGAAUUCUUAGGGCUAGGUUCAAUUCCUAGAGUUCUAG
RNAcentral lists this transfer RNA (73 nucleotides) under Chiroderma salvini (Salvin's big-eyed bat). Its description in RNAcentral is "tRNA-Gln". It matches the Rfam family "tRNA". Rfam says of the family: Transfer RNA (tRNA) molecules are approximately 80 nucleotides in length. The record is from RNAcentral. Lineage: Eukaryota; Metazoa; Chordata; Mammalia; Chiroptera; Phyllostomidae.